GGAUGGCAACAUUUGGUUAUGUUCAUCAACUUGGCAACAUUCUAUUUUAUUGGCAUGCCAAUAUCUUGGCUCCUUGCUUUUAAGUUCAACCUACAUGCUCAGGGCUUAUGGAUGGGCUCAAUAUGUGGGCUAGCCUGCCAAGCUUUGGGCUUAUUGCUACUAACAUUAUUUAUCAAAUGGGAAAAAGUAGUGGCCUCAACAAAGAGCAAUGGUGAAAAUGAACUUCUAGCUUGAGCAUGAACUUAUUG
Molecule: unclassified non-coding RNA, 248 nt
Filed under: Hevea brasiliensis (rubber tree)
Lineage: Eukaryota; Viridiplantae; Streptophyta; Magnoliopsida; Malpighiales; Euphorbiaceae
Source: RNAcentral